Callorhinchus milii (elephant shark) is the source of this 73-nucleotide non-coding RNA. The record is from the annotation of a RefSeq genome assembly. Lineage: Eukaryota; Metazoa; Chordata; Chondrichthyes; Chimaeriformes; Callorhinchidae.
UGGCCUGUAGCUCAGUGGUUAGAGCACUCGCCUUACAAGCGAGAGACCCGAGUUCGAUUCCCGGGCAGGGCGA